RNAcentral lists this long non-coding RNA (228 nucleotides) under Mus pahari (shrew mouse). RNAcentral's name for it is "sRNA (MGP_PahariEiJ_G0007946.1)". It matches the Rfam family "KCNQ1 overlapping transcript 1 conserved region 5". The record is from RNAcentral. Lineage: Eukaryota; Metazoa; Chordata; Mammalia; Rodentia; Muridae.
ACAUGCUCUGAUUCGCAAUUUUAAAAGACCCUUCUAGCUGGAGCAUAAGUCCCAAAACAGAUCCACUUUUUUUCUUCAGUGUGUUUGGUAACACAUUAAAAUAGAACCAUAAUCAAGCAAUCCAAUCCUUUAAAUUUUUUUCCUAGUGAGUAUCUGAAAAACAGGUGCAGAAAUGGAUCAUUUGAGACACCAUAGAAAUCUGGUUAAUCCUGCCUGCCUGCUUUCCUU